ACACUCGCGCGCGCACACACACACCACGUACACACUGCCACUUUCUGCACUUACACGUAUAAAUCCUUUCCAUACAUGCACUUUCAUAGCUCCUCAAACACACACACUCCUGAACGCACAUGGAGUAUCCACGUAAUUCCUGUCUACACACACACAUCACACACACUACUACUUUUCUGCACUUACACAUACAAAUCUCUUCCCCCUACAUGCUCUCAUAAUCCUCCAAACACACAAACACAAACACGCCAAGUUCAAGCACAGCAGAGUCCUGAACGCACACUAAGCGCAUACACAAUUCCGCUGUUUACAUACAUACCCUACACCCUGAAACUCACAGCCCCAGUUGGUUCCACAAGCUCGAACGUGAGGAAGAGGAAAAAGAAGGCUUGGAGAAGAAAUCAUGCCCGUCUUUCGCAGGCAUCGCCAUGGACGUGGCUCGCAUGUAGUUCAUACCUCCAGGAAGGGCUCAAACCCAGACACCUCGUCUCCUCCCAGCAAAGUGGCCCGCUGCACGAGAGGUGGACAAGAGGCUUACUCUUUUUAUUCUGAGAAAGGGAAUUUUUUUUUUUCUUGAAUGGAGUAAGGAAGGAAUUGUUUUCUCUGUGAUUCUCAAGGAAUGGACUCAGCAGACUUUUUUUUUUUUUUAAGUAGAAAAGGGGCUCGGAGAUCGCUGUGUUGGCGAGCUGGAUCCAGCUGGCACGUGGGCAGGGCUGUCUUGUCAGGGACUGAGGGCUUUUCUCUGUUUUCAAGGUCAGUCUCUGACAGAUGACGGCCAGUAACCUCUGAGCCUCACUGCCGAGGGCCAGCCCACCCACGGCCUCUGUCAAGCUUGGAUAUGAAGCGCGGGGGAAGAGGAGACUCGCUCGUACUGGGUGUGCCCUUGGAACUCUGUUUUCCCAGUUCACACAGAUUCAUAGCCUAUUAUUUUAUGACCCAAAGUACAAAGACUUGCGGGGAGGAAUGAUGGGGAUAGCAGUUUGUCACUGCGCCACAGAAGGAGGCUGCCUGGCUCACAUGUAGGAAGAGCCAUAUCACUGGCACAGGCCUCUGGAUAAUCAUGGAAUAUGCUGAAGUACUCAGCUUCUUGAAUGCAGGCACAGAGAAAACACAGGACUCCUGCCAAAUGAAUGCAGCAUCAAGAGCCAAAUGGCAAUGCAGCAAUGCCCAGUGGAAAAUAAUUUCCAUGGUAGAAGUUUAUACCCCGCAAAACUAUCAACCAAACAUAAGGCUAAAAUCCAUUCUCAAAAAAAAAAAAAAGUUUUAUUUAUUUAUGCCCUGUCUGAGGUAGCUACUGAAGAUUGCUUGCCACCGAAACAAGAUUAAAUCAAGAUAAGGAGAAAAUGUAGAAUAUAGAAAACAAGCAAGCUAGCACAUGAUAGAGGCAAAAGAGUUCCUCAAGAUGAUAAUGAAAAGAGAACUCAAAUUGGAGUAGGUCAGAAAACUCAGGGUUGAGAUUUCUUCUAGAUUAAAUGGAAUUCUUGGAAUGGAAGAACAUAGAGGAUACUGAGACAGCUCAUGAAGACUCUGUGGUUAAAUUAGUAAUCAGUUCAUAGAAAACUGUGGUACCAAAAAGAAGACAAUUAUUAACUCCAAGUAUAACAAAACAUGCAGAAAAAUUCAGAAUAAUCAGAGUAUGCAACGUGGCUGAGUCGUAACUAGCAUUUGUUUAGUUGUAAUAAUGUAAACCAUGCAUAUUGAUCUAACCUAAAUUAUGACAUAUCUGGAAUAGGAAUUUGAGGGAUUGGGAAAUGUGCCUGUGUGUAGUGGAGGCUUUGUGUAAGGGGAGGAAGUGGUGAAAAAAAAUGAACCUCAUCUGCUUUAAGGAAACAUCAAUAGAUAAUAGCUAAAAUGUUUCAAAAAUCAGGAGGAAGAAAUGUAAGCAUAUUAUUUGGAGACACAGUGGCAAAAGUAAUAUCAAGCUAAACGUUUUGGAAGUCAUUGCUGUAGGAAAUGGGAAAUGGGGGGAAGGCAUACAGUACUUCUGGUUUUUAUACAAGUCUUCUAGAACAAUUUGAUGGGUGUAUAACUUUAAUUUUGGAAAUGCAAAUGAAGUAAUACAUGCUUAUUACACCAUUAUUAAUAAUGAUAAAUAUCAUUAUCAUUAAUGAAUAAUAAAUAAAUAGCAGAACCUUGAAUUCAUGACUUCUGAGUCAGGUGCUCUUUCUACAAAAAUCAAACCAGAAUUAGAAUAUUUACCAAUCUUUUUGUUUUUA
This 2216-nucleotide long non-coding RNA is filed under the name Homo sapiens (human). RNAcentral's name for it is "HSALNT0358002". The record is from RNAcentral. Lineage: Eukaryota; Metazoa; Chordata; Mammalia; Primates; Hominidae.